RNAcentral lists this long non-coding RNA (520 nucleotides) under Mytilus galloprovincialis (Mediterranean mussel). The record is from RNAcentral. Lineage: Eukaryota; Metazoa; Mollusca; Bivalvia; Mytilida; Mytilidae.
AAAAUGGUAAGUUGACAAUUUGAAAGUUUAAAUGACAAUUGCGUUAUAGUUUCUAGUUUGAAGACGUCAAUCGAUGUCAAGAUAGAGGGAACAUGAAAUCUUCUACUUGCAGAAAUUUACAUUAUCUGAAGUUCAUUGAGGUAUAUUUAAUUAAACUUUAAAUGCACUGAAGAGUAGGUUACUGGAUUUUUAAAACAUUUUUUAAAAAAUCAGCCACGAGACACAAUGCGAACCUUUUUACCGAGAUAUCGCAUUAUCUGUUUAUCGUUCUAUUAAUGGCCUUGUCUCCCUCACAAAGUAAACUUGAUAACGUCCUCUGACACAUUGUGAAGUCGCUGAUAACUUAUCCUCAGACAUUGUGACAUCGCUGGUAAUGCCUGCUCUCGUCUCAUACCCGUGAAAUGAAUAUUAUUACUGAGCGACUUAACAGGGUAAUGUAGGCGAAAUGAAGGCGAGUAAGUGCAGCGAGCAUUGUGCCAAACAGCUGAUACUUUACGAAAUCUAUACAACGAAAACCCGC